This 253-nucleotide ribosomal RNA is filed under the name uncultured bacterium. RNAcentral describes it as "partial 16S ribosomal RNA". It matches the Rfam family "Bacterial small subunit ribosomal RNA", at positions 524 to 776 of the family's 1533-position model. The record is from RNAcentral.
UACGGAGGGUGCGAGCGUUGUCCGGAAUCACUGGGCGUAAAGGGCGCGUAGGCGGCUCGGUCAGUCAUCGGUGAAAGUUCAGGGCUCAACUCUGAAUCGGCCGGUGAUACUCCCGUGCUCGAGCACUGUAGAGGCAGGUGGAAUUCCGGGUGUAGCGGUGGAAUGCGUAGAGAUCCGGAAGAACACCGGUGGCGAAGGCGGCCUGCUGGGCAGUAGCUGACGCUGAUGCACGAAAGCUAGGGGAGCAAACAGG